UAGAUUUUAGUUUAUCAAAAAUAUUAACUUGUCAAGUUAAAGAGGAGAAUUUACUCAAUUCUAAAUAAAU
This 70-nucleotide transfer RNA is filed under the name Franciscoloa pallida. Its description in RNAcentral is "tRNA-Asp". The record is from RNAcentral. Lineage: Eukaryota; Metazoa; Arthropoda; Insecta; Psocodea; Menoponidae. RNAcentral also lists the same sequence under 1 other name.